RNAcentral lists this ribosomal RNA (692 nucleotides) under Phytophthora colocasiae. RNAcentral's name for it is "eukaryotic LSU rRNA". It matches the Rfam family "Eukaryotic large subunit ribosomal RNA", at positions 95 to 619 of the family's 3401-position model. The record is from RNAcentral. Lineage: Eukaryota; Oomycota; Peronosporomycetes; Peronosporales; Peronosporaceae.
GAAGCGGGGAAGAGCUCAAGCUUAAAAUCUCCGUGCAAGUUUUGUGCGGCGAAUUGUAGUCUAUAGAGGCGUGGUCAGCGUGGGCGCUUGGGGCAAGUUCCUUGGAAGAGGACAGCAUGGAGGGUGAUACUCCCGUUCAUCCCUGAGUGGCUCGUGCGUACGACCCGUUUUCUUUGAGUCGCGUUGUUUGGGAAUGCAGCGCAAAGUAGGUGGUAAAUUCCAUCUAAAGCUAAAUAUUGGUGCGAGACCGAUAGCGAACAAGUACCGUGAGGGAAAGAUGAAAAGAACUUUGAAAAGAGAGUUAAAGAGUACCUGAAACUGCUGAAAGGGAACCGAAUCGUUUCCAGUGUCUAUAAUCUGUGGCAUAUUUCAUUGGCGAGCGUUUGCGUGCGUGUGCUGUGGCAGUGGCUUUUUUGGCUGCGCCUGGUGUGUGUGGUGUGAGUGUUUGCUGGUGCCCUGUGCUGCGGUGGGACGUCAAGGUCAGUUCGUAUGCUGCGGGAAAUGGCUGCCGAGGAGGUAGGGCUUACGCUCCGCGUUUGUCUGUUAUAUCUUGGUGGACGAGUCGUCGCGGUUGGGACUGAGGUGCCUACAACGUGCUUUUGAGUGGGUUUGUGUCUCCGUGUGCGCCGUGUGCGGAUAGCUUGCUAUGCGUGUGUGGUUGUGUGUGGAUUGAUGCGGGCCCUUAACUUGUC